CUUUUCAGACAACUCACAGUCCCUACUGAACCUCUCAUGCCUACUGGAACCUUCGCUUCGCAUAAUUCUUCCCACCAUAAUCAAAAUCAGUUCUUAAAAUUUGCGGAAGCGUGGAUUAUUGUGAUUAAUUCCCAAUUGUCUCUUUUCUUUACAGUCAAUAUCUCCAGCAAUGCCUCCCAUUCAAGGGAUUUCUUUUACAUGGCCCUCUCACAACCAGAGAUGCGACCAAACUCCACGAAGUCCAACAUCAUCUGAUCGUUUGUUCAGCUUUGAAGCCCCAGGGCCGAUACCGCAAAUGAUACUAUCGCCAAGUGAGAUGAGGGGCAAGUUACCUCUCAGAGUUAUGGUGGGACAGAGGGGGAAGGCAUUAAUUUCUGAACCCCUGGAGCACGAUAAUGCAAUCCAAGCGAAUAUUAGAAGCGAAAAAUCUUGGUUAGGAUAAUUGCUGCUCUCCGGAAAAAGCCAAGGCAGAAUUUCGAUAGCAGUUAUCCCCUCAGACGAAAUGGAGUACAUAGAAACGUGGGAAGGCAGCUGUUGUUGCGGAAAACCAUUAUUAGAAGCCAAGGCACCGAGGGAAAUGCGAAUGGGAUGAGACGAAAGCAAUAUAUUUUUCGGCCGUUAUAACACUUAGAUAUAAAAAUACUUAUAUUUAACGACAAGUCGCUCAUUCUAUUACGCAUCGACCUGCCUCUCUAGCUGCACCACCCACCGCUAUUAAACCAUAUAUAAUCUAUGGUUACCGGCAGCCUCAUUAUCUAGAUCUUUUAAACACCAGGGGGCUAGGUUAGGAUUAAGAUAAACUUAAGGGACAAGGGAUGGGAGGCGUGUCUAGCAAGAAGAUGUCGUUGCUUCCAAGGACUGGGAAAGACUCACCAUAUCGAGUAAAAUCCUGACGACUCCUGCAAAAUCGGGAUGCCAUGGCCUGUUAGUCGCGAGCAAUAUACAAAUGAAUGUGGAGGGAACAAUAUAGUUUGAAGGUAUACAAAAAAGGACCAGAAUUGCCAUUCAAUUAGGGAUAAAAAAUUGCUUGAGGAAUUGAUCAAACCCCACCUUUUACUAACUUUUUCCUCCUUCUGAGAUGCAUGGACAGAGCCGAAAACGCAAUAAUAUUAACUUAUUAACAACGAACAUGCUUGUCAUGGUUAUGUUGCAUGAUAUCCUGGAAAACCAAAAACAGACGAAUAUGAUCAAGGGUAGAACAAAUCUCUUGACCACCAUUGAUCGCCCUUGUUUUAUAAAAGAAAUUGGUCUAAGGAAGCUAAAAGAACCUCCACACUUCACAGUGGAAAUUCCCCUCACCACUCCAUUUGGCCCUGAUUUACUUCACCAUCCUUUGUAUUUGCUACAGCAGCAGUUGGGACCAUUAAUGGCGCCUUCCUCAGAUCUCCCCGCUUCAAAUAUCCCGUCCCAUCCAACCAUGGCGUUUCCAGUGACCGAGCAAUCUCAAACUUCUUUAUAUCCUCCUCCAUCUGCAUCGUGAGACCAAUAUCAUCCAGACCAUUAACAAGGCAAUGCUUUCUGAAUUGCUCAACAUCGAAGUCCGCCAGCUUUUUUCCCGAGGCGUCACUGAUACGUUGAUUGGGGAGGUCGACUUCUAGCUCGUGGCCAGCCAGCGCUUCCGCGUAUAUUUUUCUGUACACGGCGUCAUCGGUGAUGGCAAUGGGCAGCAUACCGUUUUUGAAUGUGUUGUUGAAGAAAAUGUCAGCGUAUGAGGGAGCGAUUAUGCAUUUUAUACCGAAAUCGAGGAGCGCCCAUGGAGCAUGCUCCCGGGAGCUACCGCACCCAAAGUUCACGCCUGCGACGAGGAUCUUGGCAUGGCGGUAUGGUUCUCGGUUGAGGAUGAAAUCAGGCCUCUCGGCACCGGCUUCGUCAAAUCUUAAGGAGUAGAAGAGGGCGCUUCCUAGACCGGUACGCUUGAUGGUUUUGAGGAAUUGUUUGGGGAUGAUGGCAUCUGUGUCCACAUUUGCGCGGUCCAGUGGAGCCGCAACACCUUUGAGAAUGGUAAACUUUGGCAGACCAGCUGAGGUAUGGCGUGUAGAGCUAUUAGUGUGCGGUUCAUCGUCUUCAGGGACGUCAAGGAUGCGCUCCAAGUCCUCCUCAGUAUCCAUCUCGUCAACGAUGGCCUCGAUAUCAACAUUUGGUAAGCCUCUCUUUUGAGUCAAUAUAUGGGCAGUAUCAAUUGUUCGGACAUCAGCAAGCUUGCCGACAAUGGCAGCUGCAGCGGCCAUCACGGGGGACAUAAGAUGGGUCCGCCCAUACGCCCCUUGUCGACCUUCGAAAUUUCGGUUAGAUGUACUCGCACAUCGUUCACGGGGAGAGAGAAUAUCUGGGUUCAUGCCGAGACACAUCGAACAACCAGCUUCUCUCCAUUCAAACCCAGCAUCAGUGAAGAUUUUGUCAAGGCCCUCAGCCUCUGCUUGUUGUUUGACCAGACCAGAGCCUGGGACAAUCAUUGCCCGCUUGAUGUUGGCGGCUACCCUCUUGCCCUGAACAAUGUGGGCAGCCGCACGCAGAUCUUCCAUACGGGAGUUGGUACAGGAUCCGAUGAAUACCUUGUCGAUGACGAUAUCUUGCAUUGGUGUCCCGGGGGUGAGUCCCAUGUAUUCCAAUGCGCGCCUUGCACUCGUCUUCUUAUCUUCAUCCGUAAAAUCAUCUGGACCGGGAACAACUCCAGUGAUUGGCACGACAUCUUGCGGGGACGUACCCCAAGACACGUUUGGGACGAUAUCCUUCGUGUCGAUGAAAACCUCCUUAUCAUAUAUAGCACCCACAUCAGACUUCAAGCUGGACCAAUACUUCACGGCCUUCUUCCACUCAGGACUAUCAUACUUUGGCGCCAAGGGCUUUCCCUUCAAGUAUUCCAAAGUAAUUUCAUCCGGUGCAACCAUGCCAGCCCGCGCACCAGCUUCGAUACUCAUGUUACAAAUGGACAUACGUGCCUCCAUGCUAAGACCUCUGAUCGCUGAACCGCAAAAUUCAAUGACAGCCCCAUUGCCACCAGCAGUUCCGAUCACACCAAUCACGUGGAGAAUUAUAUCCUUGCUACUAACACCGGGUGGAAGCUCACCAUCAACCUGAACACGCAUGUUUUUGCUGCGCUUGGUGAUGAGGGUCUGCGUGGCUAACACAUGUUCGACUUCGCUGGUGCCAAUUCCAAAUGCCAAGGCGCCAAAAGCGCCAUGUGUCGAUGUGUGGGAAUCACCACAGACGACAGUUGUGCCAGGAAGAGUGAAUCCUUGUUCCGGCCCGAUGACAUGCACAAUUCCCUGUCUCUUAUCUCCCAAUCCAAAGUAUGUGAGCCCGAAAUCCUUCACAUUUUCCUCAAGGGUCAUACAUUGUAGUCGCGAGUCAGCCUCUUGAACGAAAUUUUCGACAUUUUUAAAGGUCUUGCGAGAUGUGGUGGGGAUGUUCUGUAGCCAGAGGUGUUAGUGCAUCGUAAAAUAAAUUUGUGAGACUUGGGGCAUUGGUAACGAACGUGAUCUACCGUGGCCAGAGUACAAUCUGGCCUCCGUACUUUCCGUCCAGCAUUUUUUAGGCCUUCAAACGCUUGCUAUUCAACGAUAUAGUUAGAAAUACGUACUCUGUUAGGUGUAGUAAUAUCGAGUGAGGAACUUACAGGUGACGUGACUUCGUGGACAAGAUGCCUAUCUAUUGAACUUGUUAGCAUGUACGAGUCCACCAUGCAACAGUCAAGCGGGAACAAACCAAUAUAGAGCAAAAUUGUUCCGUCUUCCUGCUCUUUCACAAUAUGGUCCUGAAAGAUCUUGUCAUAAAGGGUCUUUGGUUUCUUAUCUGGGGCAGGCAUAUCUUGGCUGGUUAAAAUCGUGGAUAAGCUCGCUCAGCUCGCUUUUUGCUUUGUACUUUCAGAUACUAGAAGAGAUAUAUACCAGGGAAUGAGAUCAGGUUGAGCUGAAGAGAAAGAUGAAUCAGGAAUGUCGGAGCAGAAAACUGCGUACGCUCUGUAUAUAAAAGAUGCCGCAGAGGGGACAACGCCGAUGUCGGCGGUCAGCAGAUCGGGAAACAGUGUGAUUGGUCAGUUCCCGCACUGGUCAUCGGCUACGGAAUCGCCAUGGCAAAAUACCCA
RNAcentral lists this small RNA (4084 nucleotides) under Histoplasma capsulatum. RNAcentral's name for it is "hypothetical RNA". Lineage: Eukaryota; Fungi; Ascomycota; Eurotiomycetes; Onygenales; Ajellomycetaceae. RNAcentral also lists the same sequence under 1 other name. The record is from RNAcentral.